UGACUUUUACAGUUUAUGCAAUAUUGAAAAAACAACAAACUACAUACAGGUGCUAAAAAUAAAGCCUCUUUUGCAACCCAGAACUCAUUGCUCAGUAUGAGUUUUGAUACAUAUAAGAAGGAACAUG
RNAcentral lists this small nucleolar RNA (127 nucleotides) under Myotis brandtii (Brandt's bat). RNAcentral describes it as "Small nucleolar RNA SNORA40". It matches the Rfam family "Small nucleolar RNA SNORA40". Rfam says of the family: The snoRNA ACA 40 belongs to the H/ACA family of snoRNAs and guides the pseudouridylation of 28S rRNA subunit at position U4565. Lineage: Eukaryota; Metazoa; Chordata; Mammalia; Chiroptera; Vespertilionidae. The record is from Rfam by way of RNAcentral.